This 253-nucleotide ribosomal RNA is filed under the name uncultured bacterium. RNAcentral's name for it is "partial 16S ribosomal RNA". It matches the Rfam family "Bacterial small subunit ribosomal RNA", at positions 524 to 776 of the family's 1533-position model. The record is from RNAcentral.
UACAGAGGUCUCAAGCGUUGUUCGGAUUCAUUGGGCGUAAAGGGUGUGUAGGUGGCGCCGUAAGUCGGGUGUGAAAUUUCGGAGCUUAACUCCGAAACUGCAUUCGAUACUGCGGUGCUUGAGGACUGGAGAGGAGACUGGAAUUCAUGGUGUAGCAGUGAAAUGCGUAGAGAUCAUGAGGAAGACCAGUGGCGAAGGCGGGUCUCCGGACAGUUCCUGACACUGAGGCACGAAGGCCAGGGGAGCAAACGGG